Molecule: long non-coding RNA, 517 nt
Organism: Gadus macrocephalus (Pacific cod)
Lineage: Eukaryota; Metazoa; Chordata; Actinopteri; Gadiformes; Gadidae
Exons: 3
Source: RefSeq, a predicted model, not a curated record
ACGAGCAGCAUGGGCACAUUUGUAUGCGCUGGCGCUUCACCGCUGCGCUGCCCCCGCUUACACAUGAUGCUAGACCAUUUUAUUUUUCCUACAGGAUAAGGCUCCUGCAAAGCGGCGUUAUUCUGCCCAUGUUAACAAUUGAUUGUUUCAGAGAGGGGAGAGAACAACCCGUGGUCACACAAGUCUACCCAAUCCGUAGUUUUUAGGAUAUUUGUUUUUUUUUGGCCCCUCGUUUUUUUGCGACGUGCACAGCAGAUAAAAGUUUGUCCAGGGGUUCCGCUAUGGAUGGUUUCUGAUUUUAGGGGACGGAACACGCGCGGCAGCCUAUCUCCGAGAUCAUUUUGGAAAGAUUGACGGCUCGUGAUGCCUGGCCAAUGAGAGGCGUCAUGCGUGUCACAUGGUCGUGGGCCACGCCCCUUCUCAUCACCAUGGUUCUGCUCAGGCUUGUCCGAUGCGAGGAGAACCCCCUGGUCCCAGACGCGGGAACAGCAGACGCUGCCGCCGCCGCCGCCGCCGC